RNA transcript from Colletes gigas, 1040 nucleotides. It is a transcript of the gene named histidine protein methyltransferase 1 homolog, with no coding region annotated. The record is from RefSeq and is a predicted model, not a curated record. The transcript is spliced from 6 exons. Lineage: Eukaryota; Metazoa; Arthropoda; Insecta; Hymenoptera; Colletidae.
GUUACAUGGAGUUGCAUGCUUAGCCUCAAUUAAUUUGUUUCUUAGUAGCUCUUUUUUAACGUAAGUGUAAUACUGUUAGGAAUAAGAUGUUCAAAUUUGGAUUUACGAAACAUGACGAGACUAAAGAGGAAGAUAGCAAUAGGAAAAAAUUAACGAUCAAUUGGAUACCUGCUUCGAAUGUUGAGAUAUCGGAAUCUCAAAUAAAAAAACAAUACGAACUUAACGAUUAUACCGAGAAUACAAUAUUUUCGGGUUGCAAGUUAAAGUUAAUUCGAUCUGAGAGAGCUGCAGACGAAUUAAAACAGAAUAAUUGUACAAAUAUUAUAGCAGCAGAGUCGCAACAUUCCGACCUUAUCCCUGCUAUAUACGAAGGUGGUUUAAAAAUUUGGGAAUGCAGUUACGACCUAGGUCAUUACGUAUUCGAACGUAAUAUCGAAUUUCAAGACAAAGUUGUCUUGGAUUUAGGAUGUGGUGCCGGUAUCAUCGGUCUGAUCGCUCUUCUAAACAAUUCCAUCGUUCAUUUUCAAGAUUAUAAUAUAGAGGUGAUUAGAACCGUAACGAUCCCAAACGUUUUACUAAAUUUCGAGGAUCGAGAAAGCCUUUCAAAGAGAUGUAAAUUUUUUUGUGGCGACUGGGAGUCAUUUACGAAACUAAAUGAUUCGAAUUCCACGAACGAGGUUGCACAAUACGAUUUAAUUUUCACGAGUGAAACGAUUUAUAAUCCUGACAAUCAUAGAAAGCUUUACGAAGUUUUUAAACAAAAACUAAAACUCGAUGGCGUUGGGUUCAUUGCUGGUAAAAGUUACUAUUUUGGAGUUGGGGGAGGAAUGAGACAAUUUCAAAAUCUUAUAGAGGAAGAUGGAUUUUUCGAUGUUGAGACAGUGUGGAAAAAUCGAGAGGGUAAUUAAUUAUACGUAGUUAAUUAUUGGAGGCAACGACUUGCAAGAAGAUGAUCCCAAAGAUCGUUAAAAUCGAAAUGAUAUAAUUGAGGAUUACAAAGAGAAAUUCUAAAAAUUUCAAGGAAGUAUACCUAACCCCAC